AGCGAACGCUGGCGGCAGGCUUAACACAUGCAAGUCGAACGGGCGUAGCAAUACGUCAGUGGCAGACGGGUGAGUAACACGUGGGAACGUACCUUUUGGUUCGGAACAACUGAGGGAAACUUCAGCUAAUACCGGAUAAGCCCUUACGGGGAAAGAUUUAUCGCCGAAAGAUCGGCCCGCGUCUGAUUAGCUAGUUGGUGGGGUAAGAGCCCACCAAGGCGACGAUCAGUAGCUGGUCUGAGAGGAUGAUCAGCCACAUUGGGACUGAGACACGGCCCAAACUCCUACGGGAGGCAGCAGUGGGGAAUAUUGGACAAUGGGCGAAAGCCUGAUCCAGCCAUGCCGCGUGAGUGAUGAAGGCCCUAGGGUUGUAAAGCUCUUUUAACGGGGAAGAUAAUGACGGUACCCGUAGAAUAAGCCCCGGCUAACUUCGUGCCAGCAGCCGCAGUAA
This 451-nucleotide ribosomal RNA is filed under the name uncultured bacterium. RNAcentral's name for it is "partial 16S ribosomal RNA". It matches the Rfam family "Bacterial small subunit ribosomal RNA", at positions 29 to 523 of the family's 1533-position model. The record is from RNAcentral.